GAUGAGGAAUAGCGAAGGUCAAGUUGAUACAGAUGUAUGGUCAUAAUUAAUUGAUUGAAGUAAAAUAAGCCGUUGUAAAUCAGUUGUAUUCAAAUUGUAGCAACAUCGGAAUCUAUAUUAUGGCAAAGUGUCGGUAUAUAAGUUUAUUACUAUUUAUUUUCAAUCAAGGUAAGACAAGGGUCAAAACUGCAUUGGUUCUAACUAUGAAAGUCAUAACAGUUCCUGCAGAAAUAGCUGUUAUAACACCGUUAUGUAAAAAAUGUCACAUUAAACAAACGACUGCUCUGGUAAGAACUUUUGGUUUAGUUGUCAAGUAUAUUUUGCGGUAUGUGUGUUCCACACAUUUGAUGUCUACUUUAUCAAGAUAUUCCAGCAUACAUAAUAAAAGUAAUUCUUACUUAUCAUUUUUAGUAAAAGAUUUAGACAGUUAUGCUAAGUUAUUAUUCGAGUGUGAUCAAAU
This 460-nucleotide long non-coding RNA is filed under the name Mytilus galloprovincialis (Mediterranean mussel). The record is from RNAcentral. Lineage: Eukaryota; Metazoa; Mollusca; Bivalvia; Mytilida; Mytilidae.